This 451-nucleotide long non-coding RNA is filed under the name Salmo trutta (river trout). Its description in RNAcentral is "lncRNA (ENSSTUG00000029383.1)". The record is from RNAcentral. Lineage: Eukaryota; Metazoa; Chordata; Actinopteri; Salmoniformes; Salmonidae.
CAAUGAUUGAAACACUGAAGAGAUACGUUUAUGGUCCGUGCUAUCCGGGAUCCUUGGGACAUCGCUACCCCAUUGACAUUUAAAAUGGUUAAGUGGAGCGAUGAUCAACUGCAUGCGUUUUAUGAAAAUGAAGUGUAAGAGAAUGUGGACCUCCCAAUUUUUGCAAAACGGCUUUAAGAUGUCACAGAGAUGAGAGAAGUUGACAAGGAAUUGUCCAGCUGCGCGUGCAAGGUCCAUGGUGAAGAGAGAAACAGCUGAGAGCACAAAGCCCCCUGGACAUGCUAUGACCACAAUUGUAUGCCCUUUCUAUUAUAUUUUUGUGGUUUUCAUAUAGGCUACUACUGACAUUGUUUCAAAAUUAUUUGGGAUGUUUUUGUUUACCUAUAGUGUUCCAUAAAAUAUGUCCAUAAUAAUGUUUGCUAUUUUAGUGAGUUUUCAUAAGUUGAACUGA